ACGGGUGAGUAACGCGUGGGAACGUGCCCUCUGGUUCGGAAUAACUCAGGGAAACUUGAGCUAAUACCGGAUACGCCCUUUUGGGGAAAGGCUUGCUGCCGGAGGAUCGGCCCGCGUCUGAUUAGCUAGUUGGUGAGGUAACGGCUCACCAAGGCGACGAUCAGUAGCUGGUCUGAGAGGAUGAUCAGCCACACUGGGACUGAGACACGGCCCAGACUCCUACGGGAGGCAGCAGUGGGGAAUAUUGGACAAUGGGCGCAAGCCUGAUCCAGCCAUGGCGCGUGAGUGAUGAAGGCCUUAGGGUUGUAAAGCUCUUUUAUCCGGGACGAUAAUGACGGUACCGGAGGAAUAAGCCCCGGCUAACUUCGUGCCAGCAGCCGCGGUAAUACGAAGGGGGCUAGCGUUGCUCGGAAUCACUGGGCGUAAAGGGCGCGUAGGCGGCGUUUUAAGUCGGGGGUGAAAGCCUGUGGCUCAACCACAGAAUGGCCUUCGAUACUGGGACGCUUGAGUAUGGUAGAGGUUGGUGGAACUGCGAGUGUAGAGGUGAAAUUCGUAGA
Molecule: ribosomal RNA, 557 nt
Filed under: uncultured bacterium
Lineage: Bacteria
Description: bacterial SSU rRNA
Rfam family: Bacterial small subunit ribosomal RNA
Source: RNAcentral